AUGUAGCUGCGUUAAGGAUUGCAGUGGAAAUCCCACAGCCCGACGAAGGAGGAGCGAGGACUUGUAGCGGAAAGCCUGACCCUUG
RNAcentral lists this unclassified non-coding RNA (85 nucleotides) under Algibacter pectinivorans. Its description in RNAcentral is "Flavo-1 RNA". Lineage: Bacteria; Pseudomonadati; Bacteroidota; Flavobacteriia; Flavobacteriales; Flavobacteriaceae. The record is from RNAcentral.